This 406-nucleotide ribosomal RNA is filed under the name uncultured bacterium. RNAcentral's name for it is "partial 16S ribosomal RNA". It matches the Rfam family "Bacterial small subunit ribosomal RNA", at positions 30 to 526 of the family's 1533-position model. The record is from RNAcentral.
AUUGAACGCUGGCGGCAGGCCUAACACAUGCAAGUCGAACGAGUCGCGGACGUGUGAGUAAUGUCUCUGCAACUGCCUGAUGGAGGGGGAUAACUACUGGGCACUGUUGCUACUACCGCAUACCUUCACCUGGGCCCAGAUGGGAUUAGCUAGUUGUUGGGGUAACGGCUAACCAAGGCGACGAUCCCUAGCUGGUCUGAGAGGAUGACCAGACACACUGGAACUGAGACACGGUCCAGACUCCUACGGGAGGCAGCAGUGGGGAAUAUUGGACAAUGGGCGAAAGCCUGAUGCAGCCAUGCCGCGUGUAUGAAGAAGGCCUUCGGGUUGUAAAGUACUUUAAGCGGGGAGGCGUUACCAGCAGAAGAAGCACCGGCUAACUCCGUGCCAGCAGCCGCGGUAAUAC